Molecule: long non-coding RNA, 5985 nt
Organism: Cyprinus carpio carpio
Lineage: Eukaryota; Metazoa; Chordata; Actinopteri; Cypriniformes; Cyprinidae
Source: Ensembl
UGAUGUAAGUUGAAGUACUGAACGAACCCUGUCAUAUGAAGCAGAGCAGUUUAAUGUGUGUCUGAAAAGGAUGUCGUGAAUAACCUUUAGCCAAACGUCUCCAUGGGAACCUGAGGGGUGGUUAUUUCAUUCGUUGCAUCUCCAGGCAAAUGUUUUCAAGACGUAUCGAGUUCUCUUUAAAUGUAACAAGCAGUAAGUUACCUCCAAUAGAAGCUAACGGUACGACGAACUACACGCAGCAGACGACGUCCCGGUGUAUUAACGUCGAGGCCAGUAAGCUGAAUUGUUUAUUGACAGGCGUUUUGAAGGAUGACAUCAACAACAUGCUGUCCAGCUCCAUGUCAUAACAGAAAUGCGUUGACCUGGCUUCUAUGCCCAAACAUUGAUCAUGUGUCCUCUGCAUUGCAAAUUCUUGUUCACCUUGCUCAGGAGGACAAAGGUGAACUUGUCGAAAAGGUUCUUCAGCACUGCAACCCAGAAUUAUGCAUAGAUGCUCUUCGAAAACUGCUGAAGUCACCUGCCUCAUGGCUGAGUAGUACUGGAGCUUGUAUCUUUGGGGUCCUGCUGGAAAAUGAGUCCAUGGUGCUGAAACUUCAGAAGGGGACCAAAGGGGAAAGCAAUCUCAUAUGUGACCUUGUUCAGAUGUUUACUGAAGAUGAUCCUGAUGUUGUGAUGAAUGCUGCUGGAGCCAUAGCCUCAUUGGUUGAAACUACAUCAGGACGGACAUGGUUCCUUCAGAUCCAAAGUGUGUUCAGUGGGGUCCUUGAGAGCCUAUCAGUUCUUCUAGAGAAUGAGAGAGAGAAUACGGUUAACUCUGCAGCACUUAUUCUUGCACGACUGUCCCAGUGUGAAGAAACCUGUGAAAAGGUUUUAUCCCAUUCAUCUGCCUGCAAGAUCUUCAGAUGUUUAACACAAUGCUUGUCGUGUAGUCACAAAGACACAGCCAUGAAUGCGGCAUUUGCUGUUGGCCGUCUGUGUGGUAGCAAACAAGCCAAGAUCCUCAUUCUGAGAGUGGCCAAAGAGCAUCAGCUGGUUAGUCGCCUGCAGACUCUGCUGUUGAGUGGGUCAGGAGUGGAGAUGGGGCAAACAGUGUGCUUUGCUCUGAGCUGCUUAGCAAAUGAGGAAGAUGGCCAUGCUCUGCUGAUGGAAAGCACCUGUGUCCCUACAUUGCUGAAUGGUCUUUUACAGCUGUUGCAGAGCCCAGACCCAGACAGUAUCUGGUUUGCUGCUAUGACAGUACGAAUACUGGUUUCCCGGCCGAGUGGAGUGGUCCCUGUCAGGAUCCAUUGCUCUCUGCAUGAGCAGUUGAAGAUUCUCUCUAUGUCACCAUCCACUGGGCUAGAGCUGCAGGAGGAGGUCAACAUGUGUCUCAGGAAACUGGAGCGUUUAUCCAAACCACAUCCAGUGAUGGUUACAAACCUCUCAUCAACGAGCUGCACUGUAUCAUGGGAAAAGUGUAGACCUGAAAGUGGCCUGGAGGUCAUAUACAGUCUCUUUCACAAGGAUGUCAUGCUGUACCAUGGCCUGUUGUGUCAGGUGACCAUACCUAUUUCUCCCAAGCAAUCUAAGGAGCCCCUUUCCCUACAGCUCAACCUGUCUACACCUGAUGGUGACAUUAGUCCUUUCAGUGAACCUGUGGUUAUUACUCCAGAGCAGCUGGACACGAGACUUUAGCCUCCACGAGAGCUCUGUGUGAUUGGCUCUACAGCUACACAGGUACGCCUGUGCUGGAUAGAACCAGAGGGAGGAGCCAAACCCAAAUCAUACCAGAUCUACUGUAAUGACACACUGGUGAAGACCACUGCUCUGCUGGGGGCUACAGUUGGCUGUUUAUCUCCUGGCACCUCCUAUCAGCUGAGUGUGAGUUCACUUGGUCCAGGGGACACAGAGAGUCCUAGAGCAGUAACUGAGGUGAGGACAGCGGAAGAUCAAGAUCAUGCUCCUUCUGCGGUCACUGUAGUUGUCCUGGGACGACAUGAACUGCAGAUAAACUGGGGAGCUCCAGUCGCUCCUUUGGGGAGACUCUUCAAAUAUGAGCUAAGUCUAAAUGGGUGUGUGGUGUACCUGGGCACAGAAAGGUCAUACACUGCUUGUCGCCUGUCUGCUAACACAGCAUACACCUGUGUUGUGACAGCUAUCACCUCCAGGGGGCGCUGCCAGAGCAGUCCGGUCACAAAGAAGACAGCACGGGAUGAAUUCCUGCACUCACAUAGGUAUCUGCACUCUCAUAGCCACCAGUCAGCCUCAAAACACUCCACUCCUUCUUCAAGCAUCCAAGUGAUAAGUGAAGUCAAAAAGAAUGACACAGUUUCUCCAGCUACACUCAAUUCUAAGGUCCAUCCCACUAUGAUCCCGCACAGAGCCCUUGACCUUAGAAAAGACAGGCACAGGCAAACAUCAGUUCCUAAAGGGAUUCAACCUUCCAGUCACACAUCUAAGGAACAUUAUGAGUACAUGUUCCGGUCCUUGACCAUAUCAUCAACCCCAGAGGAUCUCAGACACUUUAAGGCCAAGAUCAGCCCAGCCAGACCGCAGUGGAACUCAGACAGAAAAGUUCCCAUAGACAGAGAGAAACUUCCAGGCAUCAGCAAACAAAUCUCAGAGGAUGUGAGACUGCUUCAGCCUGUUUCGUUUAGUUGGUCUAAUCUGGAAUGGACCAAACAACAUCAAAACAGACCACAAAGAAAUAAAGCCAUUUUGAAGGUCCAAUGUCAGGAAAGAGGAAGACGAUAUCAAAUAUCAUCACAAACCAAACUCACGUAACAAAUUGUGGACAUCUAGGCUACCAAAAUCAGUGUUUAUAUUAAUACAUAUUUAUUUUAUUUGAAUAUAAAUGAAUGGAUUUAAGAUGUUUCUUUCUCAAUAAUUAACAAAAUCUCAGUAAUAAAUAUAAUAAAUGUUUUAUGUUUAAUUUAUUGGUCCCCUGCAUUAACAGUUUAUCUAUGGUAUGUUCAUUCCUGAAUUGGAUUAAUGUAUGCAGUCCAUAAGAGGUCACUGUAGAGAAUAUUUAGCUUGUUAGUCAUUUCAGAAUCAGAAUCAGAAGAGCUUUAUUACCAAGUAUGUUUACACACACAAGGAAUUUGACUUGACGACAGGAGCUUCCAGUGUAGAAGAAAGUACAAACAUAGUGCAGACAUACCUUAUAGCAGACAUAUAUAGGAAUAACAUGGUAGGGAUGUAAUAUAACACCAAUAAAAAAAAAAAAAAGCAUUAAAUAAUGUACUAUAUUCACAAUUCACAUUUCCUUCGCUGCACAUGCAGACGUUUCACAACAAUAACAAAGUGAAGCUGUAGAAACUGUAAGAUUAUAGUCCAUAAUUAUAGCAGGAUGGUCAACAUCGGUCUCACUAAAGUUGAUGAUGAGGUUGUAGCAAAGCACCCGGUGGGUAUAUAUCAUAAUGCAUGACUGCUACCUGACUGAUGUGACAUUUUUACCAUCAAUUACUGCCAUAAAUGUCAUUCAUAGAGGAGUCCGGGGAAUGUUGUCACUCUGUUUACUCCAAUGUAUGUUUCUAACGGUAUGUCUUUGUGUUUGUGAAAGAAAAUGACAAAAAAGAAUGCUUUAAUAUCUUUUUUUGUAACACCAAAAGAUUGGGGACCAAUUCUCACUAUUAACUAGUAAUAGCAUGCAUAUUACUAGCAUAUUCGCUGUUUAUAAUGCCUUAUUCUGCAUGACCAUAUUUUAGAACCCUUAAUCCUACCUCAUAUCGGUCUCCAAAUAGCGAUCAAAUUGAGAUUUUUGCCAUAGUUCCCUUGUAAAUUUCAUUUUUUUUUUCUACUGAGAAAGAACAAAAUAGUAAUCUUAAGUUUAUGUUCUCACUGUCUCAUACAAAAGCCACUUUUCCACCAAAAUUACCUGAAACAAUUUGUCCCAGGUACCUUUUUCUCCCCAGACCUGUUGCUGUCUGUGUUUCCAUCGUGGUCUAAAGUACCGAGGAGAUUAGGCAAAUAGUCUGGUGAAUGUAGGUCUGUGUGCGUUUCUCAAUACCCAGUACGCAAAUUUCAGAUUUGCAUCCUCGGUAGUUCACCAGUUUGAUUCGAAAAUGUGUACUCCUAUGGACAGGACAACGGUAAUUCUGCAAACAGCAGCGUACUUGAUAACGUCAGUCAGCUCACCUUGGCUACUGCAAUUUUCCUCACUGUAUUUACAAUAAGACUAAAUAAAAAAAAAAAAGUGAAAGUGACGUGACAUUCAGCCAAGUAUGGUGACCCAUACUCAGAAUUCAUGCUCUGCAUUUAACCCAUCCGAAGUGCACACACACAGAGCAGUGAACACACACCCGGAGCAGUGGGCAGCCAUUUUAUGCUGCGGCGCCCGGGGAGCAGUUGGGGGUUCGAUGCCUUGCUCAAGGGCACCUAAGUCAUGGUAUUGAAGGUGGAGAGAGAACUGUACAUGCACUCCCCCCACCCACAAUUCCUGCCGGCCCGAGACUCGAACUCACAACCCUUCGAUUGGGAGUCCGACUCUCUAACCAUUAGGCCACGACUUCCCACGAAAUAUGAUAUCAAACACCACUGCCUCUUUUUGUUUAUCAGAGCCAGUAGCAAAUGUCAGAAGGACUAGCCGAGUUGAGGCUGCUCUCGUCUGUAAACAUAAGCACUGAGCGCCCGCUGAUCGCGUGGAGCUCACGUCUUCGAAAUCAGCAAAGCAUAUUUUCAAAUAGGCGCUGUCUUUAUUAAUAAACCGCAGAUUUGAGUUUUAAACAACUACAUUCUCGACUGAAAUACUUUAAAAACUACAUUUCAUGACACAAUAACAGUAAUAUUUUUAAAAAAUUAUGUGAAUAGGUGGUUGAAAUACAAUGCUGCGUGAACUCAACCAGUUAGCAUGUUCAGCGCCCAAGUCCCGCCCUCAAAAUUUCUGGACCUUUGAAAAAGUGCUAUCUCGUGAGCAGGGACUUUCUGAGGGGCAAUUUUUUACCCAGAACUUUAUUUAGAUCCUAGUUCCUGCUGUGGAAAUAUACCUUUUAUCCAAUCAAAAAAAAAAAAAAGAUGAGCACCACUAAUUCUUCCUGGUCAGUUCAUGAGUCAUCCCUUACAUAUUAAUUUUUGAAUCCAUAUUUUGGUGUAUGUGAGCAACAGUUGUCUAAUUUGUGUCUGUUUUAUUUCUUAUAAGGAAGUUUUAAGGGAGAAACAUCUAAGCAAAUUUACUUAUAUGAAAUAUACCUGAGUGCAAGCUGUGUAAAUACAACCUCUGAUUAAUAAUUUUAUUUUAUUAACUAAUUUUGUUCAUUUUGCUUUGGGUGAAAAUGUUACACCUCUCAACAGGGCACAGCUGGUUUAAUUUUUGCACAGCGAACACUUCAGGAAAGAAUCCCAUAUCCCCUUCAGUGGAACCUUCUGGUGUCUAUUGGAAGAACCACAAAAUCCUGCAACACCUGCAGAUCCCAAAGUCACAGGAUAUGGGGAUGUGAUGGAAUGAGCUCAAACCUUUGUUUGCCACCUUCGAUUUUAGGAGGAUGUUUAGCCUUUCUAAACUAAAAGUGAUUUUGGUUCUGGUUAUAGCUGGUUAAAACAAUUUUUAAUUUUUUUUUUCAUAUAUACUGUGUGUGUCAAUAAAUAAUUUAUAUUAAGAAUUGUUUUGCGUGCACUUGGCUUAAUCAAAUGUCUUAUGAAGUCCCAGGAUUGUGGACAAUUGUGAUAUGUAUUUACUCAACUGCUGUAUUUUAUUGGACACAUUUUUAAUUUAUGAGUUAGUAACAUUACCGGCUGCCAUUGAACAGUAUUUUUUUUGUAUGUAUUCUUUGUAGUUUAAUAGUUUUUCACAGUAAUUUAUUCUAUUUCUAUACAUCAGAAUUACUAUUUAGCAUUUAUUAAACUUUAAUAAUUAGCAUUUUGUUAUACUUUAUUAUAAGGUGCCCUUGUUACAGUGUAACACAACUAAGUAGACUAGUGAGUAAUAUUACUGAACAAAAUGUAUUUUAGUUUCUUGUAAUUGUGUGUAAUUUACUGUUAUAAAGUAUAUGCAACAAGAACAUUGUAAAA